GAUGAACGCUGGCGGCGUGCUUAACACAUGCAAGUCGAACGAGAAAUGGAGACGGACACCUUCGGGCGGAAGGCUUCAUUUCGAGUGGCGGACGGGUGAGUAACGCGUGGGUAACCUGCCUCAUACAGGGGGAUAACAGUUGGAAACGACUGUUAAUACCGCAUAAGACCACAGCACCGCAUGGUGCGGGGGUAAAAACUCCGGUGGUAUGAGAUGGACCCGCGUUCGAUUAGCCAGUUGGCGGGGUAACGGCCCACCAAAGCGACGAUCGAUAGCCGAUCGGGGAGGAUGACCGGCCACAUUGGGACUGAGACACGGCCCAAACUCCUACGGGAGGCAGCAGUGGGGAAUAUUGCACAAUGGGGGAAACCCUGAUGCAGCGACGCCGCGUGAGUGAAGAAGUACUUCGGUAUGUAAAGCUCUAUCAGCAGGGAAGAAAAUGACGGUACCUGAGUAAGAAGCCCCGGCUAACUACGUG
Molecule: ribosomal RNA, 478 nt
Filed under: uncultured bacterium
Lineage: Bacteria
Description: partial 16S ribosomal RNA
Rfam family: Bacterial small subunit ribosomal RNA
Source: RNAcentral